RNAcentral lists this ribosomal RNA (535 nucleotides) under Boana caiapo. Its description in RNAcentral is "partial large subunit ribosomal RNA". It matches the Rfam family "Bacterial large subunit ribosomal RNA", at positions 1927 to 2613 of the family's 2925-position model. The record is from RNAcentral. Lineage: Eukaryota; Metazoa; Chordata; Amphibia; Anura; Hylidae.
ACGGCCGCGGUAUCCUAACCGUGCGAAGGUAGCGUAAUCACUUGUUCUUUAAAUGAGGACUAGUAUGAAUGGCACCACGAGGGUUAAACUGUCUCCUUUUUCUAAUCAGUGAAACUAAUCUCCCCGUGAAGAAGCGGGGAUUCUUCUAUAAGACGAGAAGACCCUAUGGAGCUUAAAACAUGUUAACACUUGCUACCCCUUAAUCUCCUUCCCGCACUAACACACAAAAUAUAGCACGACUGAUUAAUAGUUUUCGAUUGGGGUGAUCACGGAGCAAAAAAUAACCUCCACGACGAAAAGGAACCCUCCUUGAGCCAAAAGUCACAACUUUAAGCACUAAAAAAUUAACGCACCUUGACCCAAUUUUUUGAGCAACGAACCAAGUUACCCUAGGGAUAACAGCGCAAUCCACUUCAAGAGCUCCUAUCGACAAGUGGGUUUACGACCUCGAUGUUGGAUCAGGGUAUCCCAGUGGUGCAGCCGCUACUAAAGGUUCGUUUGUUCAACGAUUAAAACCCUACGUGAUCUGAGUUCA